RNAcentral lists this ribosomal RNA (404 nucleotides) under uncultured bacterium. Its description in RNAcentral is "partial 16S ribosomal RNA". It matches the Rfam family "Bacterial small subunit ribosomal RNA", at positions 28 to 526 of the family's 1533-position model. The record is from RNAcentral.
GACGAACGCUGGCGGCGUGCUUAACACAUGCAAGUCGAGCGGAGCGGCGAACGGGUGAGUAACGCGUGAGUAACUGCCCCCCUCUCUGGGAUAACAGUUGGAAACGGCUGCUAAUACCGGAUAGUGGGGGAUGACUCGCGUCCUAUCAGCUUGUUGGGGGGGUAGUGGCCUACCAAGGCGACGACGGGUAGCCGGCCUGAGAGGGCGACCGGCCACAUUGGGCUGAGAUACGGCCCAAACUCCUACGGGAGGCAGCAGUGGGUAAUAUUGCACAAUGGGGGAAACCCUGAUGCAGCAACGCGAGUGCGGGAGGACGGCCUUCGGGUUGUAAACCGCGUUCAGUCAGGAGGCGGGAGUGGCAGAAGUAGCACCGGGUAACUACGAGCCAGCAGCCGCGGUAAUUC